AGCGUACACGGUGGAUGCCCUGGCAGUCAGAGGCGAUGAAGGACGUGCUAAUCUGCGAUAAGCGUCGGUAAGGUGAUAUGAACCGUUAUAACCGGCGAUUUCCGAAUGGGGAAACCCAGUGUGUUUCGACACACUAUCAUUAACUGAAUCCAUAGGUUAAUGAGGCGAACCGGGGGAACUGAAACAUCUAAGUACCCCGAGGAAAAGAAAUCAACCGAGAUUCCCCCAGUAGCGGCGAGCGAACGGGGAGGAGCCCAGAGCCUGAAUCAGUGUGUGUGUUAGUGGAAGCGUCUGGAAAGGCGCGCGAUACAGGGUGACAGCCCCGUACACAAAAAUGCACAUAUUGUGAGCUCGAUGAGUAGGGCGGGACACGUGGUAUCCUGUCUGAAUAUGGGGGGACCAUCCUCCAAGGCUAAAUACUCCUGACUGACCGAUAGUGAACCAGUACCGUGAGGGAAAGGCGAAAAGAACCCCGGCGAGGGGAGUGAAAAAGAACCUGAAACCGUGUACGUACAAGCAGUGGGAGCACGCUUAGGCGUGUGACUGCGUACCUUUUGUAUAAUGGGUCAGCGACUUAUAUUCUGUAGCAAGGUUAACCGAAUAGGGGAGCCGAAGGGAAACCGAGUCUUAACUGGGCGUUAAGUUGCAGGGUAUAGACCCGAAACCCGGUGAUCUAGCCAUGGGCAGGUUGAAGGUUGGGUAACACUAACUGGAGGACCGAACCGACUAAUGUUGAAAAAUUAGCGGAUGACUUGUGGCUGGGGGUGAAAGGCCAAUCAAACCGGGAGAUAGCUGGUUCUCCCCGAAAGCUAUUUAGGUAGCGCCUCGUGAAUUCAUCUCCGGGGGUAGAGCACUGUUUCGGCAAGGGGGUCAUCCCGACUUACCAACCCGAUGCAAACUGCGAAUACCGGAGAAUGUUAUCACGGGAGACACACGGCGGGUGCUAACGUCCGUCGUGAAGAGGGAAACAACCCAGACCGCCAGCUAAGGUCCCAAAGUCAUGGUUAAGUGGGAAACGAUGUGGGAAGGCCCAGACAGCCAGGAUGUUGGCUUAGAAGCAGCCAUCAUUUAAAGAAAGCGUAAUAGCUCACUGGUCGAGUCGGCCUGCGCGGAAGAUGUAACGGGGCUAAACCAUGCACCGAAGCUGCGGCAGCGACGCUGAUGCGUUGUUGGGUAGGGGAGCGUUCUGUAAGCCUGCGAAGGUGUGCUGUGAGGCAUGCUGGAGGUAUCAGAAGUGCGAAUGCUGACAUAAGUAACGAUAAAGCGGGUGAAAAGCCCGCUCGCCGGAAGACCAAGGGUUCCUGUCCAACGUUAAUCGGGGCAGGGUGAGUCGACCCCUAAGGCGAGGCCGAAAGGCGUAGUCGAUGGGAAACAGGUUAAUAUUCCUGUACUUGGUGUUACUGCGAAGGGGGGACGGAGAAGGCUAUGUUGGCCGGGCGACGGUUGUCCCGGUUUAAGCGUGUAGGCUGGUUUUCCAGGCAAAUCCGGAAAAUCAAGGCUGAGGCGUGAUGACGAGGCACUACGGUGCUGAAGCAACAAAUGCCCUGCUUCCAGGAAAAGCCUCUAAGCAUCAGGUAACAUCAAAUCGUACCCCAAACCGACACAGGUGGUCAGGUAGAGAAUACCAAGGCGCUUGAGAGAACUCGGGUGAAGGAACUAGGCAAAAUGGUGCCGUAACUUCGGGAGAAGGCACGCUGAUAUGUAGGUGAAGCGACUUGCUCGUGGAGCUGAAAUCAGUCGAAGAUACCAGCUGGCUGCAACUGUUUAUUAAAAACACAGCACUGUGCAAACACGAAAGUGGACGUAUACGGUGUGACGCCUGCCCGGUGCCGGAAGGUUAAUUGAUGGGGUUAGCGCAAGCGAAGCUCUUGAUCGAAGCCCCGGUAAACGGCGGCCGUAACUAUAACGGUCCUAAGGUAGCGAAAUUCCUUGUCGGGUAAGUUCCGACCUGCACGAAUGGCGUAAUGAUGGCCAGGCUGUCUCCACCCGAGACUCAGUGAAAUUGAACUCGCUGUGAAGAUGCAGUGUACCCGCGGCAAGACGGAAAGACCCCGUGAACCUUUACUAUAGCUUGACACUGAACAUUGAGCCUUGAUGUGUAGGAUAGGUGGGAGGCUUUGAAGUGUGGACGCCAGUCUGCAUGGAGCCGACCUUGAAAUACCACCCUUUAAUGUUUGAUGUUCUAACGUUGACCCGUAAUCCGGGUUGCGGACAGUGUCUGGUGGGUAGUUUGACUGGGGCGGUCUCCUCCUAAAGAGUAACGGAGGAGCACGAAGGUUGGCUAAUCCUGGUCGGACAUCAGGAGGUUAGUGCAAUGGCAUAAGCCAGCUUGACUGCGAGCGUGACGGCGCGAGCAGGUGCGAAAGCAGGUCAUAGUGAUCCGGUGGUUCUGAAUGGAAGGGCCAUCGCUCAACGGAUAAAAGGUACUCCGGGGAUAACAGGCUGAUACCGCCCAAGAGUUCAUAUCGACGGCGGUGUUUGGCACCUCGAUGUCGGCUCAUCACAUCCUGGGGCUGAAGUAGGUCCCAAGGGUAUGGCUGUUCGCCAUUUAAAGUGGUACGCGAGCUGGGUUUAGAACGUCGUGAGACAGUUCGGUCCCUAUCUGCCGUGGGCGCUGGAGAACUGAGGGGGGCUGCUCCUAGUACGAGAGGACCGGAGUGGACGCAUCACUGGUGUUCGGGUUGUCAUGCCAAUGGCACUGCCCGGUAGCUAAAUGCGGAAGAGAUAAGUGCUGAAAGCAUCUAAGCACGAAACUUGCCCCGAGAUGAGUUCUCCCUGACUCCUUGA
This 2787-nucleotide ribosomal RNA is filed under the name Escherichia coli. RNAcentral's name for it is "bacterial LSU rRNA". It matches the Rfam family "Bacterial large subunit ribosomal RNA". Lineage: Bacteria; Pseudomonadati; Pseudomonadota; Gammaproteobacteria; Enterobacterales; Enterobacteriaceae. The record is from RNAcentral.